Molecule: ribosomal RNA, 492 nt
Filed under: uncultured bacterium
Lineage: Bacteria
Description: partial 16S ribosomal RNA
Rfam family: Bacterial small subunit ribosomal RNA
Source: RNAcentral
AGUGAACGCUGGCGGUAGGCCUAACACAUGCAAGUCGAACGGCAGCACAGUAAGAGCUUGCUCUUACGGGUGGCGAGUGGCGGACGGGUGAGGAAUACAUCGGAAUCUACUUUUUCGUGGGGGAUAACGUAGGGAAACUUACGCUAAUACCGCAUACGACCUACGGGUGAAAGCAGGGGAUCUUCGGACCUUGCGCGAUUGGAUGAGCCGAUGUCGGAUUAGCUAGUUGGCGGGGUAAAGGCCCACCAAGGCGACGAUCCGUAGCUGGUCUGAGAGGAUGAUCAGCCACACUGGAACGGAGACACGGUCCAGACUCCUACGGGAGGCAGCAGUGGGGAAUAUUGGACAAUGGGCGCAAGCCUGAUCCAGCCAUACCGCGUGGGUGAAGAAGGCCUUCGGGUUGUGAAGCCCUUUUGUUGGGAAAGAAAAGCAGCAGGUUAAUACCCCGCUGUUCUGACGGUACCCAAAGAAUAAGCACCGGCUAACUUCGUG